GGGGGCAGAGAGGUGUGGGCAGGGGGGUCUCAGGGGAGGGCUCAGAGAGGUGUGGGCAAUGGGCAGGGUGAGUCUCAGGGGAGGGGGCAGAGAGGUGUGGGCAGUGUUGGUCUCAGGGGAGGGGGCAGAGAGGUGUGGGCAAUGGGCAGGGUGAGUCUCAAGGGAGGGCUCAGAGAGGUGUGGGCAAUGGGCAGGGUGAGUCUCAGGGGAGGGGGCAGAGAGGUGUGGGCAGCAGGCAGACCUUGGGGUAGAGGGUGGAGUGGCGCGAGGAGGCCUUGGGGGAGGAGAGGAGCGAGCGAAAGGUGGACCAGCAGGCCUCAGCCAAAGAGCAGGUGUGGGAAGUGGCCAAAUGGGAUU
Molecule: long non-coding RNA, 357 nt
Organism: Gopherus flavomarginatus (Mexican gopher tortoise)
Lineage: Eukaryota; Metazoa; Chordata; Testudines; Testudinidae
Exons: 3
Source: RefSeq, a predicted model, not a curated record